UACGUAGGGUGCAAGCGUUAAUCGGAAUUACUGGGCGUAAAGCGUGCGCAGGCGGUUCGCUAAGACAGAUGUGAAAUCCCCGGGCUUAACCUGGGAACGGCCGUUGAAACUGGCGAACUGGAGUGUGGCAGAGGGGGGUGGAAUUCCACGUGUAGCAGUGAAAUGCGUAGAGAUGUGGAGGAAUACCGAUGGCGAAGGCAGCCCCCUGGGAUGACACUGACGCUCAUGCACGAAAGCGUGGGGAGCAAACAGG
RNAcentral lists this ribosomal RNA (253 nucleotides) under uncultured bacterium. RNAcentral's name for it is "partial 16S ribosomal RNA". It matches the Rfam family "Bacterial small subunit ribosomal RNA", at positions 524 to 776 of the family's 1533-position model. The record is from RNAcentral.